CAGCAUAUGGAUGAAAGUGAACAGCAGCAGGAAGUUAAGUGAGGAGGAAGUUCCUGUGUGUGUUUGUGACUGAUCUGCAGUGACUUACAGCUCAAGCACUGAGAGCCUCAACAGAGAACUGAUCUGAUCUGAUUCAACAUGGACACAUGCUUCAUACUGAUUCUCAUUGUGGGGACAGGUUUGGUGACUGGAGACAACAUUGAGCCAGAUAAAGAGACAGAAAAAAACACUAAAGAAACAGAAACUGUCAAGCUGAGCUGCUCAUAUAGUACAAAUGGUCAAAAUGUUUGGCUUUACUGGUAUAGACAAUAUCCCAACAAAGAACCACAAUAUUUAUUAUACAAAAAUGCACGGGCAGCACGUGGUGAACACACUUCUGAUCCUCGCUUUCAGUCGACUGCAUCACAAACAUCCACUGAACUCACUAUUACUGAUGUUCGUCUGUCAGAUUCAGCUCUCUAUUAUUGUGCUCUAAGAGUUGGAGCCCAGUGAUACAAAACAUGAAACACGUCGUACAAAAACCUGAAGCUCUUUUCACUUUGAACCGAUCUAGUGAAAACCACAAUCAAAACCACAAUCUAUCCAGCCCCAAAUGUAAUAAAAUAUGUGGUAACACCUGUGUGAGGCUGA
Molecule: non-coding RNA, 630 nt
Organism: Megalobrama amblycephala (Wuchang bream)
Lineage: Eukaryota; Metazoa; Chordata; Actinopteri; Cypriniformes; Xenocyprididae
Source: the annotation of a RefSeq genome assembly